AGAGUUUGAUCCUGGCUCAGGAUGAACGCUAGCGGCAGGCUUAAUACAUGCAAGUCGUGGGGCAGCACAGGUAGCAAUACUGGGUGGCGACCGGCAAACGGGUGCGGAACACGUACGCAACCUUCCUUUAAGCGGGGAAUAGCCCAGGGAAACUUGGAUUAAUACCCCAUAGGACAAUAGUCUGGCAUCAGAUAGUUGUUAAAGCUCCGGCACUUAAAGAUGGGCGUGCGGCUGAUUAGGUAGUUGGCGGGGUAACGGCCCACCAAGCCGACGAUCAGUAACUGGUGUGAGAGCACGACCAGUCACACGGGCACUGAGACACGGGCCCGACUCCUACGGGAGGCAGCAGUAAGGAAUAUUGGUCAAUGGACGCAAGUCUGAACCAGCCAUGCCGCGUGGAGGAUGAAGGCCCUCUGGGUUGUAAACUUCUUUUAUCAGGGAAGAACUCUAUCUUUUCUAAGGUAGUUGACGGUACUUGAUGAAUAAGCACCGGCUAACUCCGUGCCAGCAGCCGCGGUAAUACGGAGGGUGCAAGCGUUAUCCGGAUUCACUGGGUUUAAAGGGUGCGUAGGUGGGCAGGUAAGUCAGUGGUGAAAUCUCCGGGCUUAACCCGGAAACUGCCGUUGAUACUAUCUGUCUUGAAUAUAGUGGAGGUGAGCGGAAUAUGUCAUGUAGCGGUGAAAUGCUUAGAUAUGACAUAGAACAUCGAUUGCGAAGGCAGCUCGCUACGCUAUUAUUGACACUGAGGCACGAAAGCGUGGGGAUCAAACAGGAUUAGAUACCCUAGUAGUCC
Molecule: ribosomal RNA, 793 nt
Filed under: uncultured bacterium
Lineage: Bacteria
Description: bacterial SSU rRNA
Rfam family: Bacterial small subunit ribosomal RNA
Source: RNAcentral